Molecule: unclassified non-coding RNA, 4600 nt
Filed under: Leishmania donovani
Lineage: Eukaryota; Euglenozoa; Kinetoplastea; Trypanosomatida; Trypanosomatidae
Description: gene:LdHU3.33.2660(CDS-product:DNA_polymerase_del ta_catalytic_subunit_putative)
Source: RNAcentral
GGGCUCGCUGCUUGUAUCCUUCGUUGCAACUCUGAUUCGCUGCGGCAGGCGACCUCUUUUCUUCACAGCUCUCUCUUCUUUUUUUCUUCUCCCGGACACGCACCCUCAGAAAAAUGUCGUCCUCUGCCCUGUCGCUGUGGAAGUCUAUCGUGCGCUUGCCUCUCCCUGCUUCGUACCUGCACAAGGACGUGCGCUUUCAGCUCCUCGACUGUUGCCAGACAAAAGGAAACCCGCAUGAAACGGUGUCACGUGUUCGUCACAGCGAGGUGCCGGUGGUGCGUCUCUACGGAGUCACCGCCGAGGGGUUCAGCGUGUUGGUUCACUGCUACAACUACGAGCCGUAUUUGUGGAUUGAGGCGCCACCGAACUGGCUGCCUGUACAUUCUCAAGAGUUUAUGCGGGAGCUUAACAAUCAGCUUAGCAACCAGACUCGCCUACAAGACACUGUUGUGCGAGUGGAGGUGCACCAGCGCCGCAGUCUCAUGUACUUCAAAGGCGGCCAGCUGGUGCCACAUCUAAAGAUCGUUGUGCAGCUGCCGCAGCACAUCCCAAAGCUGCGCAGUCUCCUAUCCGACCGCGGCGUCUCGUGCCCUGGGGCGUGGGAUGGGACUCGCGUCUUCCAGACCUUCGAGUCGAACGUGAUUUUUCCGCUGCGCUUCCUCGUCGACAACGACAUUGGCGGUAGCAACUGGCUGACGCUGACCUACGGCAAGUUCUUCGCGUCCCCCAUUAAGACGUCGACCUGUCAGAUUGAGGUGGCGUGCUCGCACGAGGAUGUACAGAACCACGAACCAUUGGGGGACUACUUGUCCAUCGCGCCUUUCCGCAUCCUUUCCAUCGACAUCGAGUGCCAGGGCCGUAAAGGACUCUUCCCUGAGCCGGAGCAUGACCCUGUCAUUCAGAUUGCCAACCACUGCGUCGAGUACGGGCACGAGUCGGAGCCGCUCACGAAGACCAUCUUCACCCUGAAGAGCUGCGCACCGAUUGCGGGGGCGCAGGUGCUCUCAUACGAAACGGAGGCGGAGAUGUUGCUGGCAUGGGCCACCUUCAUGAAAGCGCUUGACCCCGACAUCCUGACGGGCUACAACAUCUGCAAUUUCGAUUUCCCAUACUUGCUGAACCGCGCCACAGCCCUGAAGGCCAGCGACGCAUUUCACUACUGGGGUCGACAAGUUCACGAGCGGACGGUGGCGCGCGACAAGAAGUUCCAAUCCAAGCAGAUGGGCAACCGCGAGUAUACGGAGCUGACCUUGGAGGGGCGCAUCAUUAUGGAUGCGAUGGUGGUGAUCCAGCGCGACUACAAGCUGCGCUCCUACUCACUCAACUCGGUAUCACAGAACUUCCUUGGGGAGCAGAAGGAGGAUGUGCACCACUCCAUCAUCUCAGACCUGCAACACGGCGACGAGGAGACGCGCCGCCGCCUCGCUGUGUACUGCCUGAAGGAUGCGUUCCUUCCUGUGAAGCUGCUGGAUCGGCUCAUGUGCAUCGUGAACAACGUGGAGAUGGCACGCGUAACGGGUGUGCCGGUGGGGUGGCUGCUGGAGCGCGGCCAGCAAAUCAAGGUCUUCUCCAUGCUCCUGCGCAAGGCCCAGAAGAAGAAGCUGGUGGUGCCGACAGUCGAGUACACAGGUGGCAGCGAUCGCGGCUACGAAGGCGCCACCGUCAUCGACCCGAUCAAAGGCUUCUACAACUGCCCCGUCGCAACGCUCGACUUCGCGUCGCUGUAUCCGUCUAUCAUCAUCGCACACAACCUGUGUUACUCAACAUUGGUGCGCCCUGCGGACGCGAGGCUGUACCCGGAGGACGCCCUCGAUCGAUCGCCCACGUCGGACGUCUUUGUGAAAAAAGAGGUCUUCCCAGGUAUUCUUCCCGAAGUACUACAGGACUUGCUGGCUGCACGAAAGCAUGCGCGGGCGAUGAUGAAGGAUGUGCCCGUGAACUCGCUCGAGUACAAGGUCCUGAACGGGCGCCAGCUUGCGCUGAAGGUUAGCGCCAACUCUGUGUACGGCUUCACGGGUGCUCAGGUGGGUAAGUUGCCGUGCCUGGAGAUCAGCGCCUCCGUCACGGCGUAUGGCCGGCAGAUGAUUGACAGGACGAAAAACCUCGUUGAGGAGCUAUACCCUGGCGCGCGCGUGCUGUACGGCGAUACUGACUCUGUGAUGGUGAAGUGUGUCACCGACGAGAAGUCGAGCGACAAGGAGCGCCUGCAGGCAGCCAUGGAUUUUGGCAUCGAGGCGGCGGAGAAGGUGUCCAGCAAUUUCCUCAAGCCAAUCAAGCUCGAAUUUGAGAAGGUGUACUUUCCGUACCUACUCAUGAACAAGAAGCGCUACGCAGGCUUGCUGUGGACGAGCACGGAUCGAUUCGACAAGCUGGAUGCCAAGGGUAUCGAGACUGUGCGCCGAGACAACUGCCCUCUUGUCGCACGCAUGGUGUCUGGCGUGCUGAACCGCAUUCUCAUUCACCGCUCCGUCGAGAGCGCUGUCGAGUUUGUGAAAGGCACUAUCAGCGACCUGCUGCUGAACCGACUCGACAUAUCGAAUUUGGUGAUCACAAAGGCCUUCUCCAAGGCGGAGGAUGAGUAUGCCGGUGCCCAGGCACACAUCGCCCUUGUGGAGCGCAUGCGGCAGCGCGACCCUGCUUCAGCGCCGACCAUUGGCGACCGUGUGGCGUACGUUAUUAUUAAGGCAGCAAAGGGUGCCAAGGCGUACGAGCGAAGCGAGGACCCCAUCUACGUGCUCGACAACAAUAUCCCAAUCGACACACAGUACUAUCUCGAGCAUCAGCUGGCUCCGCCAAUUAUGCGCGUGUUUGAAGGUGUACUGGACGACCCCAGCGUGCUUAUCAAAGGAGACCACACACGCCACAUUGCUAUCUCCGCCCCGAGCAAGAAUGCCGGUGGGUUGAUGAGGUUCGUGAAGGUUCAGCUGCAGUGCAUCUCGUGCCGCGCCGUCAUCAAAGCAGGCGCGUUGUGCGACAACUGCCAAGACAAGGCACCUGAGGUGUAUGGCAAGAUUGUAGCGAAGCGCAACCAUUACGAAGCGAUUUACUCGCAGGUGUGGACGCAGUGCCAGCAGUGCCAGGGGUCGCUGAAUCAAGAGGUGAUCUGCUCUAGCCGCGACUGCCCGGUGUUCUACAUGCGCAAGAAGGUGCAGAAGGAUCUGCACGAGCAGCAGGUCCUUCUGGAUCGUUUUGGCGUUGUGGACGAUUGGUAAAUAGCAGUUUUGAAGACACAGACGUGAUUGCUUUCGGUGCCUUUCUUCUCAACCUUCUUCUGCAUCCUUUUACUUGAUACUUCCAUGCCCUGGAUGAAAGGAGUGCGCCUCGGCGCGUGGUACCCAAGACUCUGUACACGCCCUGUGUGGGGAAGAAGCCAGGCAGCCCCUAUCCCCUGCCAAUGCUGCACCGCACCUGGCGGUGGCAGGGCCAGGCGCCUACGACGUGGGGGAGGUCAGAGCGAUGCAUCGCUGCUGACGUGGGCGGCCAGGUCGUGGAUGGCGCUGCGUCGGAGCGACCCGCGACUGUGCACCGGGCUGCGCCAUCCAUGCUAUAUGGGCGGAGUGUCAGCGCGACUCGACCGCGACCCGCCCGGCCCUCACUGCCUCCUGGUGUGUGGCGCCUGCGCCACGCCGAGGGAUGCGCCGGGUGGCGGCCGGCAUAGUGGGGGCAGCUGUGGGGCUGCGUGCGCAGAAGAGGCUGGCAGAGGCUGAGGCAGGGCCCGUGCUGAGAUGGCUGCGCCGGCGCAUGACUGUGAUGCGUGUGUCUCUAGCGCUGCUUCGCACCACGCGAUGGGGGCCUGCGACGGGCCGGGGCUAGCGUGCCCCUUCCGCUAUCACAGCAUGGGCGGAAUGGGCACGUAAAAGAAAGGUAAAUGCUGCCAUAUAUGCUCAGUAAGAGUGCUGUCCGGCUUGGCUGAGCAUCGGCUCACGCAUAGAGAGAGAAGAGCGACAUCCGAAAUGGGCGUGGACAGCGGCGCGUACGGCUUGCAGCUGCGGGCUCCGUUUUUCGUAUUGUGUUCCCCGUCGGGUACAUUUUCGGCUUCGUUUGUCUCGAGAUUAGUGCCCGGUGUGCCUCUCUUUGUUCGCAUAUAUAGACAAGGAGCGCACUUGUGUGUCAGCGUGCGAAUGCGCGUGUAUGUGCAUGCUUAGUGGGUGCUUGGGUGUUUUCGGCCAGCCGCCGAAGGGUAAACUGUGGUUGAAUGUGCCGAUGUGUAGCCGUUGCCCUCAUAGAAGAGACGGUGAAGGGAAAAAUAGAUGGUGCAGGCUGCAGGUGUACGGAAUCGUUCACAACGUAGCAAAAGAGGAAAGCGAACAGGGGUGGAGGCUGCAGCGGAAAGAUGUAUAUCCGCUGUGUACUGAAGGGCAGCUGUUUUCCCACUCUCACCACCUUAGCAGGUGAUGAUGAAAUUGUGGUACUGACCUUCAUGAGGAGAGUGCACGGAGUCCAGUGAUGCGGCGACCUUUGUAUGCCCUUCUAUUUCUUUGCAUCUGCCAACCUUCCUCGCUUACCGUCGAUGUUUCUCUUUCACAUUUCUGCCUACUGUUUCGGGUGUUUGUGUGCGUGCGCGUGUGUGAGCCGGUUCCCCGGGAGUGCUCAGCGCAAG